This 429-nucleotide ribosomal RNA is filed under the name Pseudomonadota bacterium. Its description in RNAcentral is "Proteobacteria bacterium partial 16S ribosomal RNA". It matches the Rfam family "Bacterial small subunit ribosomal RNA", at positions 355 to 776 of the family's 1533-position model. Lineage: Bacteria; Pseudomonadati; Pseudomonadota. The record is from RNAcentral.
UGGGGAAUAUUGGACAAUGGGCGAAAGCCUGAUCCAGCCAUGCCGCGUGUGUGAAGAAGGUCUUCGGAUUGUAAAGCACUUUAAGUUGGGAGGAAGGGCAGUAAGCGAAUACCUUGCUGUUUUGACGUUACCGACAGAAUAAGCACCGGCUAACUCUGUGCCAGCAGCCGCGGUAAUACAGAGGGUGCAAGCGUUAAUCGGAAUUACUGGGCGUAAAGCGCGCGUAGGUGGUUCGUUAAGUUGAAUGUGAAAGCCCCGGGCUCAACCUGGGAACUGCAUACAAAACUGGCGGGCUAGAGUAGGGCAGAGGGUGGUGGAAUUUCCUGUGUAGCGGUGAAAUGCGUAGAUAUAGGAAGGAACACCAGUGGCGAAGGCGACCACCUGGGCUCAUACUGACACUGAGGUGCGAAAGCGUGGGGAGCAAACAGG